Molecule: ribosomal RNA, 497 nt
Filed under: uncultured bacterium
Lineage: Bacteria
Description: partial 16S ribosomal RNA
Rfam family: Bacterial small subunit ribosomal RNA
Source: RNAcentral
GAUGAACGCUGGCGGCGUGCCUAAUACAUGCAAGUCGAGCGAACGGACGAGAAGCUUGCUUCUCUGAUGUUAGCGGCGGACGGGUGAGUAACACGUGGAUAACCUACCUAUAAGACUGGGAUAACUUCGGGAAACCGGAGCUAAUACCGGAUAAUAUUUUGAACCGCAUGGUUCAAAAGUGAAAGACGGUCUUGCUGUCACUUAUAGAUGGAUCCGCGCUGCAUUAGCUAGUUGGUAAGGUAACGGCUUAUCAAGGCAACGAUGCAUAGCCGACCUGAGAGGGGGAUAGGCCACACUGGAACUGAGACACGGUCCAGACUCCUACGGGAGGCAGCAGUAGGGAAUCUUCCGCAAUGGGCGAAAGCCUGACGGAGCAACGCCGCGUGAGUGAUGAAGGUCUUCGGAUCGUAAAACUCUGUUAUUAGGGAAGAACAUAUGUGUAAGUAACUGUGCACAUCUUGACGGUACCUAAUCAGAAAGCCACGGCUAACUACGUG